This 392-nucleotide ribosomal RNA is filed under the name actinobacterium SCGC AAA278-N22. Its description in RNAcentral is "bacterial SSU rRNA". It matches the Rfam family "Bacterial small subunit ribosomal RNA", at positions 388 to 772 of the family's 1533-position model. The record is from RNAcentral. Lineage: Bacteria; Bacillati; Actinomycetota; Actinomycetes.
GCAGCAACGCCGCGUGGAGGAAGAAGGCUCUCGGGUCGUAAACUCCUUUCAGUUGGGACGAAGCUUCGUCGGUUAAUAGCCGGCUGAAGUGACGGUACCUUCACAAGAAGCACCGGCUAACUACGUGCCAGCAGCCGCGGUAAUACGUAGGGUGCAAGCGUUGUCCGGAAUCAUUGGGCGUAAAGAGCGUGUAGGCGGCCCGAUUAGUCCGCUGUGAAAGUCCAGGGCUCAACCCUGGAAUGCCGGUGGAUACUGUCGGGCUCGAGUCCGGAAGAGGCGAGUGGAAUUCCUGGUGUAGCGGUGAAAUGCGCAGAUAUCAGGAAGAACACCAACGGCGAAGGCAGCUCGCUGGGACGGUACUGACGCUGAGANGCGAAAGCGUGGGGAGCAAA